This 253-nucleotide ribosomal RNA is filed under the name uncultured bacterium. RNAcentral describes it as "partial 16S ribosomal RNA". It matches the Rfam family "Bacterial small subunit ribosomal RNA", at positions 524 to 776 of the family's 1533-position model. The record is from RNAcentral.
UACGGGGGGGGCAAGCGUUGUUCGGAAUUACUGGGCGUAAAGGGCUCGUAGGCGGCCAACUAAGUCAGACGUGAAAUCCCUCAGCUUAACUGGGGAACUGCGUUUGAUACUGGAUGGCUUGGAUUCGGGAGAGGAAUGUGGAAUUCCAGGUGUAGCGGUGAAAUGCGUAGAUAUCUGGAGGAACACCGGUGGCGAAGGCGACAUCCUGGACCGGUAUUGACGCUGAGGCGCGAAAGCCAGGGGAGCAAACGGG